GACGAACGCUGGCGGCGUGCUUAACACAUGCAAGUCGAACGGAAAGGCCCUGCUUUUGUGGGGUGCUCGAGUGGCGAACGGGUGAGUAACACGUGAGUAACCUGCCCUUGACUUUGGGAUAACUUCAGGAAACUGGGGCUAAUACCGGAUAGGAGCUCCUGCUGCACGGUGGGGGUUGGAAAGUUUCGGCGGUUGGGGAUGGACUCGCGGCUUAUCAGCUUGUUGGUGGGGUAGUGGCUUACCAAGGCUUUGACGGGUAGCCGGCCUGAGAGGGUGACCGGCCACAUUGGGACUGAGGUACGGCCCAGACUCGUACGGGAGGCAGCAGUGGGGAAUAUUGCACAAUGGGCGGAAGCCUGAUGCAGCAGCGCCGCGUGCGGGAUGACGGCCUUCGGGUUGUAAACCGCUUUCGCCUGUGACGAAGCGUGAGUGACGGUAAUGGGUAAAGAAGCACCGGCUAACUACGUG
This 468-nucleotide ribosomal RNA is filed under the name uncultured bacterium. RNAcentral describes it as "partial 16S ribosomal RNA". It matches the Rfam family "Bacterial small subunit ribosomal RNA", at positions 28 to 507 of the family's 1533-position model. The record is from RNAcentral.